This 1334-nucleotide ribosomal RNA is filed under the name uncultured organism. RNAcentral describes it as "16S ribosomal RNA". It matches the Rfam family "Bacterial small subunit ribosomal RNA", at positions 93 to 1433 of the family's 1533-position model. The record is from RNAcentral.
GACCGGCGAACGGGUGCGUGCGCGUAUGCAACUUACCUUUUACUGGGGGAUAGCCCGGGGAAACUCGCAUUAAUACCCCAUGGUAUUGUUUGAGGGCUUCUGAAGACAAUUAAAGAUUUAUUGGUAAAAGAUGGCCAUGCGUAAAAUUAGCUAGUUGGUGUGGUAAUGGCACCCCAAGGCGACGAUCUUUAGGGGGUCUGAAAGGAUGAUCCCCCACACUGGUACUGAGAUACGGACCAUACUCCUACCGGAGGGAGCAAUAGGGAAUAUUGGUCCAUGGACGAGAGUCUGAACCAGCCAUGCCCCGUGCAGGAAGACGGCCUUCUGGGUUGUAAACUGCUUUUAUACGGGAAGAAAAGGCCCAUGCCCGGGACAUUGCCGGUACCGUACGAAUAAUCACCGGCUAACUCCUUGCCAGCAUCCGCGGUAAUACGGAGGGUGCUAGCGUUGUCCGGAUUUAUUGGGUUUAAAGGGUACGUAGGCCGCUUUUUACGUCAGUGCUGAAAUCCCGCAGCUUACCUGUGGAACUGCCAUUGAUACUGGAAAGCUUGAGUAUUGUUAAGGUACGCCGAAUUGAUGGUGUAUCGGUGAAAUGCAUACAUACCAUCAGGAACACCGAUUGCGAAGGCAGCUUACUGGGCAAUAACUGACGCUCAGGUACGAAAGCGUGGGGAGCGAACAGGAUUAGAUACCCUGGUAGUGCACGCUGUAAACGAUGAUCACUCGCUGUUGGCGAUACACAGUCAGCGGCCAAGCGAAAGCGUUAAGUGAUCCACCUGGGGAGUACGCUCGCAAGAGUGAAACUCAAAGGAAUGGACGGGGGUCCGCACAAGCGGUGGAGCAUGUGGUUUAAUUCGAUGCUACGCGAGGAACCUUCCUUGGGCUAGAAUGUGAGCAAUAUUGUGAGAGAUCAGAAGUUCUUCGGACAUGAAACAAGGUGCUGCAUGGCUGUCAUCAGCUCGUGCCGUGAGGUAUUGGGUUAAGUCCCGCAACGAGCGCAACCCAUAUUCUUAGUUGCCAGCACAUAAUGGUGGGGACUCUAAGGAGACAGCCUGCGCAAGCAGAGAGGAAGGAGGGGACGACGUCACGUCAUCAUGCCCGUUACGCCCAGGGCUACACACGUGAUACAAUGGCCGGUACAGAGGGUAGGGACACAGUGGUGUGAAGCCAAUCUCAAAGAGCAGGUCUCAGUUCGGAUAGUAGUCUGCAACUAGAAUACGUGAAGCGGGAAUCGCUAGUAAUCGCAUAUCAGCAAAGAUGCGGUGAAUCCGUUCCCGGACCUUGUACACCCCCCCCGUCAAUCCAUGGGAGUUGGGUAUGCCUGAAGACCGUUG